CUGUUUUAGAAUAUCUUUUCUUUUUCCCUUUUCAUAUUAUAUAAUUUUUUUUAACUUUUAGCCAUUUUUCCCCGUUCGAUUCGAUGGGGAUGGUGAUUUUUUGAUGAAGUUAAAAAUUUCUGUGUGGUUGUUAUACAUGAUGGGGAAUCUAGCCCAUGCAGAGUGCACAUGGUAGUUAUCCUGUUCCCCCAGUGGGCCUCGCCACGAAGCUGCAGCCAUGGGAUGCUCCUACUGAUCCGUAAUGGGAGGGUAUAAGAGAAUGUUGUCAGCUGAGGACAUUGGAAGGGAAAACGCUCAACCCAUUUCUAGGUGACUGGACUACUACCUGAUGCAGUCGGUACUACUUGCAAUCAACAUCUUGAGAAAGUACUUGGAACAGAUCAUGUAUCUUGUUCCUGCUGACUUAACUGUGGGGCAAUUUGUUUACGUGAUUCGAAAGAGUAUGAAUCUGACCCAUGAGAAGGCCAUUUUCUUCUUUGUGAAGAAUAUUUUGCCACUCACUGGCAAGGAAUUUGAGACAAAUUUCAUUACUUCCAUGAUGCUCCAUUUGGAUGCACCGAGUGUAUUGGAUUAGGAUCAGAUUAGGAAACAUUCACAUAAUGUUUGAAUA
This is an RNA transcript of Magnolia sinica, 610 nucleotides long. RefSeq lists it as uncharacterized. The transcript has 3 exons. The record is from RefSeq and is a predicted model, not a curated record. Lineage: Eukaryota; Viridiplantae; Streptophyta; Magnoliopsida; Magnoliales; Magnoliaceae.